CCUACGGGUGGCAGCAGUGGGGAAUAUUGCACAAUGGCGGGAACUCUGAUGCAGCGACGCCGCGUGAGUGAAGAAGUACUUCGUUAUGUAAAGCUCUAUCAGCCGGGAAGCAAGUGAAGGUACCUGAAAAUGAUGCACCGGCUAAAUACGUGCCAGCAGCCGCGGUUAUAUGUAUGGAGCAAGCGUUAUCCGGAUUUACUGGGGGUAAAGGGGGAGUAGGUGGCAGAGCAAGUCCGAAGUUAAAACCCAAAGCUCAACUAUGAGAAUGCUGUAGAAACUGCUCAGCUUGAGUGCAGGAGAGGCAAGUGGAAUUCGUAGUGUAGCGGUGAAAUGCGUAGAUAUUAGGAAGAACACCAGUUGCGAAGGCGGCUUGCUGGACUGUGACUGACACUGAAGCUCGAAAGCGUGGGGAGCGAACAGGAUUAGAUACCCGAGUAGUC
This 440-nucleotide ribosomal RNA is filed under the name uncultured bacterium. Its description in RNAcentral is "partial 16S ribosomal RNA". It matches the Rfam family "Bacterial small subunit ribosomal RNA", at positions 338 to 795 of the family's 1533-position model. The record is from RNAcentral.